CACGUAGUUAGCCGGUGCUUCUUCUCCAGGUACCGUCACUUGCGCUUCGUCCCUAGCGAAAGGAGUUUACAACCCGAAGGCCGUCAUCCCCCACGCGACGUCGCUGCAUCAGGCUUGCGCCCAUUGUGCAAUAUUCCCCACUGCUGCCUCCCGUAGGAGUCUGGGCCGUAUCUCAGUCCCAAUGUGGCCGUACACCCUCUCAGGCCGGCUACCCGUCGACGCCUUGGUAGGCCAUUACCCCACCAACAAGCUGAUAGGCCGCGAGCUCAUCCCACACCGAAAAAACUUUCCACAAUGGCAUCCAAACCAUCGUCAUAUCCGGUAUUAGACCCAGUUUCCCAGGCUUAUCCCGAAGUGCAGGGCAGAUCACCCACGUGUUACUCACCCGUUCGCCACUCGAGUACCCCUGCAAGCAGGAGCCUUUCCGUUCGACUUGCAUGUGUUAAGCACGCCGCCAGCGUUCAUCCUGAGCCAGGAUCAAACUCU
This 486-nucleotide ribosomal RNA is filed under the name uncultured Corynebacterium sp. RNAcentral describes it as "partial 16S ribosomal RNA". The record is from RNAcentral. Lineage: Bacteria; Bacillati; Actinomycetota; Actinomycetes; Mycobacteriales; Corynebacteriaceae.